AUUGAACGCUGGCGGCAUGCUUUACACAUGCAAGUCGAACGGUAACAGGGUGCUUGCACCGCUGACGAGUGGCGAACGGGUGAGUAAUGCGUCGGAACGCACCGAGUAAUGGGGGAUGACGCAGCGAAAGCUGUGCUAAUACCGCAUACGCUCUGAGGAGGAAAGCGGGGGAGCUUCGGGCCUCGCGUUAUUCGAGCGGCCGACGUGUGAUAUAGCUAGUAGGUGAGGUAAGAGCUCACCUAGGCGACGAUCAGUAGCGGGUCUGAUUGGAUGUGCGUCACAACUGGUACUGGGACAAGGCUCAGACUCCUACGGGAGACAGCAGUGUGGAAUUUUGGCUGAUGGCGGUAAGGCUGAUCCAGUCAUGCCGAGUGUCUGAAGAAGGCCUUCGGGUUGUAAAGGGCUUGUGUCAGGGAGGAAAUCCUUAGUGCUAAUACCAUUGAGGCAUGACAGUACCUGAAGAAUAAGCACCGGGUAACUACGUGCCAGCAGCCGAAGUAA
Molecule: ribosomal RNA, 501 nt
Filed under: uncultured bacterium
Lineage: Bacteria
Description: partial 16S ribosomal RNA
Rfam family: Bacterial small subunit ribosomal RNA
Source: RNAcentral